GAUGAACGCUAGCGGCAGGCCUAACACAUGCAAGUCGAGGGGUAUAGGGAGCUUGCUUCCUAGAGACCGGCGCACGGGUGCGUAACGCGUAUGCAAUCUACCUUGUACAGGGGAAUAGCCCAGAGAAAUUUGGAUUAAUGCCCCAUAGUAUUAUUAAAUGGCAUCCUUUAAUAAUUAAAGUUCCAACGGUACAAGAUGAGCAUGCGUCCUAUUAGUUAGUUGGUGUGGUAACGGCAUACCAAGACGAUGAUAGGUAGGGGUCCUGAGAGGGAGAUCCCCCACACUGGUACUGAGACACGGACCAGACUCCUACGGGAGGCAGCAGUGAGGAAUAUUGGACAAUGGGCGCAAGCCUGAUCCAGCCAUGCCGCGUGCAGGAAGACGGUCCUAUGGAUUGUAAACUGCUUUUAUACAGGAAGAAACACUGGUUCGUGAACCAGCUUGACGGUACUGUAAGAAUAAGGAUCGGCUAACUCCGUGCCAGCAGCCGAC
RNAcentral lists this ribosomal RNA (492 nucleotides) under uncultured bacterium. Its description in RNAcentral is "bacterial SSU rRNA". It matches the Rfam family "Bacterial small subunit ribosomal RNA", at positions 28 to 518 of the family's 1533-position model. The record is from RNAcentral.